Branchiostoma belcheri (Belcher's lancelet) is the source of this 1272-nucleotide long non-coding RNA. RefSeq lists it as uncharacterized. The transcript is spliced from 3 exons. NCBI's taxonomy places the organism in Eukaryota, Metazoa, Chordata, Leptocardii, Amphioxiformes, Branchiostomatidae. The record is from RefSeq and is a predicted model, not a curated record.
UUAAGCCCAAUGCGAUGCCUGUCAGACACGUCUAGACGUAACAGCGCAAACCCUCCUUGAUUAGUGGACUCUUCCAUGAUGUCAAUGUCUUUGCAUUGCAGCUAUGUUGACCAAAACUAUUGAGUAUUUGGAACAACCUAUUAAAAGCAAAUAAAGGGUCCGUCAGCAUUGUCAAAAGUUCAUGAACUUUUCAAAUUUGACCCGUAGGUUAAUGUCAGGACCCUCAGAAAUGGGCAUUUAAUUGGCAGGAAGCGAGUUAACGCACGAUUUCUUGAAGGAAAUGUCAAUCAGAUUUGCGGUGAAUUUGAAAUUAUUCAAUCUAUUCGGACCAAUCACGGUGGAUAUUUGGGAGCCCCGGGAAUGAAAGUUUGUAAUUAGCAUGCCUUCCAGCCCCUGUCGUGUCAGUCUGACGUCAACCUGCCAGGGGCAGGACAGGCAGCAAAUUGAUUCCGGAAUCCUCUCGACUAGUUAUCCAGUCUUCGGCUUUCUCACGCCACGCAUGCCGAAGACACAGCGCCGAUGUGCCGGCUGAGGUCACCUUCUGUUGGCUCACAACGCCGGCUAGGCGGGGAAGGACUGCAAGGACAAGCAGGAUUCCCUGGUCUCUCCGACAGCUAAGCUAACCAUGGCGGACCUACAGAAGAAGACCAUCAAACUGUGAGGCCGAGCUCCAGCGAGAGGUGGAGGCGCUAGAACAGAAGUGGCAACAACUGCACUCGCCCUCGUCCCAUCCCCCUUCCUCCAGAAGAGCUGGCGAUACAUGUGGAGGGAAACGCGCACUUUCUUGGCUUUCGCCCGUCAUUCAUGCAUGAAGCGAGAGCUGGCCUGGAUGCACAGAUUCACCAGAGUUUGUCGGUCGACCUAUGCACCAACCCCGAUAAGAACAUCGCUGGGAACGUGCGGUUCCUUCUGGGUCAUCCAGCUUUGUUCGAUCGCAAUGCCAAGUGCAGAACUUAACGUUCUUCCCCAGUUCCAUGACACAGUCCUCCUCUUAGCUGCAGGCAGGCCAGCUAAGCCAUGACGACCCUCACCUCACAGACGAAAUUCACCGGCGAGAUGGUCUAACAGACAUUUACGGAAGGGCCAAAACAGAGGUUGUAAUCUUCCCUACCAACCUCUGCUUGGAGAGCACAGAUCGUUCACGUCAAGCCGCCGCCGGACGCCUUCAUCCUCCGAGACAACCGAUGUCCCCCGGUGCUGAGACAUCCGUUCCCGGUCCCGAUAGAGCUGUGGGAAGGGGCCAGGAAGUGAGCCUGCGCAGUGUGCCUGGUU